GAUGAACGCUGGCGGCGUGCCUAAUACAUGCAAGUCGAGCGAACGGACGAGAAGCUUGCUUCUCUGAUGUUAGCGGCGGACGGGUGAGUAACACGUGGAUAACCUACCUAUAAGACUGGGAUAACUUCGGGAAACCGGAGCUAAUACCGGAUAAUAUUUUGAACCGCAUGGUUCAAAAGUGAAAGACGGUCUUGCUGUCACUUAUAGAUGGAUCCGCGCUGCAUUAGCUAGUUGGUAAGGUAACGGCUUACCAAGGCAACGAUGCAUAGCCGACCUGAGAGGGUGAUCGGCCACACUGGAACUGAGACACGGUCCAGACUCCUACGGGAGGCAGCAGUAGGGAAUCUUCCGCAAUGGGCGAAAGCCUGACGGAGCAACGCCGCGUGAGUGAUGAAGGUCUUCGGAUCGUAAAACUCUGUUAUUAGGGAAGAACAUAUGUGUAAGUAACUGUGCACAUCUUGACGGUACCUAAUCAGAAAGCCACGGCUAACUACGUGCCAGCAGCCGCGGUAAUACGUAGGUGGCAAGCGUUAUCCGGAAUUAUUGGGCGUAAAGCGCGCGUAGGCGGUUUUUUAAGUCUGAUGUGAAAGCCCACGGCUCAACCGUGGAGGGUCAUUGGAAACUGGAAAACUUGAGUGCAGAAGAGGAAAGUGGAAUUCCAUGUGUAGCGGUGAAAUGCGCAGAGAUAUGGAGGAACACCAGUGGCGAAGGCGACUUUCUGGUCUGUAACUGACGCUGAUGUGCGAAAGCGUGGGGAUCAAACAGGAUUAGAUACCCUGGUAGUCCACGCCGUAAACGAUGAGUGCUAAGUGUUAGGGGGUUUCCGCCCCUUAGUGCUGCAGCUAACGCAUUAAGCACUCCGCCUGGGGAGUACGACCGCAAGGUUGAAACUCAAAGGAAUUGACGGGGACCCGCACAAGCGGUGGAGCAUGUGGUUUAAUUCGAAGCAACGCGAAGAACCUUACCAAAUCUUGACAUCCUUUGACAACUCUAGAGAUAGAGCUUUCCCCUUCGGGGGACAAAGUGACAGGUGGUGCAUGGUUGUCGUCAGCUCGUGUCGUGAGAUGUUGGGUUAAGUCCCGCAACGAGCGCAACCCUUAAGCUUAGUUGCCAUCAUUAAGUUGGGCACUCUAAGUUGACUGCCGGUGACAAACCGGGGGAAGGUGGGGAUGACGUCAAAUCAUCAUGCCCCUUAUGAUUUGGGCUACACACGUGCUACAAUGGACAAUACAAGGGGCAGCGAAACCGCGAGGUCAAGCAAAUCCCAUAAAGUUGUUCUCAGUUCGGAUUGUAGUCUGCAACUCGACUACAUGAAGCUGGAAUCGCUAGUAAUCGUAGAUCAGCAUGCUACGGUGAAUACGUUCCCGGGUCU
This 1372-nucleotide ribosomal RNA is filed under the name uncultured bacterium. Its description in RNAcentral is "bacterial SSU rRNA". It matches the Rfam family "Bacterial small subunit ribosomal RNA", at positions 28 to 1381 of the family's 1533-position model. The record is from RNAcentral.